This 1351-nucleotide ribosomal RNA is filed under the name Halorubrum distributum JCM 13916. RNAcentral's name for it is "bacterial LSU rRNA". It matches the Rfam family "Archaeal large subunit ribosomal RNA", at positions 1 to 1429 of the family's 2987-position model. The record is from RNAcentral. Lineage: Archaea; Methanobacteriati; Methanobacteriota; Halobacteria; Halobacteriales; Haloferacaceae.
UGGCUACUGUGCCAGCUGGUGAAUGGCUCGGCUCGAGAGCCGAUGAAGGACGUGCCAAGCUGCGAAAAGCUCAUGGGACCCGCAUGGAGGGAAAGAACAUGAGAUCUCCGAAUCGGAAUCCGUUUUACAAUUGCUACGCGCAAUAGGGAACUCCCUGAAUUGAAACAUCUCAGUAAGGGAAGGAAAAGAACGCAACCGCGAUGUCGUCAGUAACCGCGAGUAAACGCGACACAGCCCAAACCGAAGGUCUUCGGACCAAUGUGGUGUUCGGGUUGACAAUCAAAUCUCGACAACUCAUCUGAAGUCUCCUGGAAUGGAGCGUGAAACAGGGUGACAACCCCGUAAGAUGAGUCAGUACAGAUGGCGUCAAAUCCAGAGUAGCAGGGGUCGGAUAUCCUCUGUGAACAUCUCAGGCAUCCCCUGAGAAGGCUAAACACUCCUCGAGACCNCGUGAGCGAACGCUGAAAAGCACCCCGAGAAGGGCGGUGCAAUAGGGCCUGAAAUCAGCUGGCGAUCGAGCGACAGGGCGUACAAGGCGAUUCUCAAAACGACCGAGGAGCGAUCCUCCAGUAGGAAGAGAAUCGAGCCGGCGUCGUGUCGUGCGUUUUGAAAAACGACCCAGGGAGUGCACUUGAUUGGCGAGUCUAACCCGUGAACCGGGGAAGGCGCAGGNCACCGUGUUCAAGCGCGGGGAGUCAACCAGGUGCGACCCGAAACCAGGCGAUCUACGCGCGAGCAAGGUGAAGCGUGGCGAAAGCCACGUGGAGGCCUGUUAGAGUUGGUAUUCUACAAUAUCCUCUCGUGACUCGUGUGUAGGGGUGAAAGGCCCAUCGAGCCUGGCAACAGCUGGUUCCAACCGAAACAUGUCGAAGCAUGACCUCUUCCGAGGUAGCCCGCGGGGUAGAGCUACCGAUUGGAUGACCCGCCUCCGAGAGGAGUCGGCCAUCCUGUCGAACUCCAAACCCGCAGGCGCUGUAGACGAAGGGAGUCCGGUGCGCGGGGUAAGCCUGUGUACCGUGAGGGGAACAACCCAGAGCCGGGUUAAGGUCCCAAAGUGUAGAUUAAGUGCGAUUCGAAGGUGGUCUCAAGCCCUAAACAGCCGGGAGGUGAGCUUAGAAGCAGCUACCCGCUAAGAAAAGCGUAACAGCUUACCGGCCGAGGUUUGAGGCGCCCAAAAUGAUCGGGGCUCAAAUCUACCACCGAGACCUGGCCGUGCCCUUGACAGGGGCAACCGCGUAGGUUGGCGUACUGGUCGGACGGAAGCCCGGGCGAGAGCUCGUGUGGACCGUCCAGUAACGACAAUCCUGGUCACAGUAGCAGCGAUAGUCGGGUGAGAACCUCGACGGCCUGA